ACUUAAGAAAACAUCUUAUGGCUCCUCAAGGAUCCGAAGGAACCUAAUUAGCCACAUAGUAAAAUCUGUACUUUGUGGCCACCAGAACUUUGACAGCAAGUACACACAAUCCGUGUCUCAAAAUAUGAGCAGCGGUUUACCAGCAGCUGUGCGAUCACCUAAGAAGAAUGUAGAUCAUCCUCUCAACUUAGUAUUGGCACUGAACUGGGGACUGGGAUACAAAUUUGAUGAAGACAUGGUUCAUACCCUAGAAGGACUCAGAAUGGGGGU
Gorilla gorilla gorilla (western lowland gorilla) is the source of this 270-nucleotide long non-coding RNA. RefSeq lists it as uncharacterized. The record is from RefSeq and is a predicted model, not a curated record. NCBI's taxonomy places the organism in Eukaryota, Metazoa, Chordata, Mammalia, Primates, Hominidae. The transcript has 3 exons.